GCGGCUUAAUUUGACUCAACGCGGGGUAAUUUACCAGGUAUAACAUGAUAUAAUAUUUUAUCAUGAUAGUGGUGCAUGGCCGUUUCCAAUGGAUGCUGUGAAGUAAUGAUUAAUUUCAACAAGACGUGAGACCCUCAUUUAGAAUGUAGUGAUACAUAUGAAGGAGAGGAUUAAAACAGGUCCGUUAUGCCCUAAGAUAAUCUGGGUUGCACGCGCAAUACAAUAAUAUUUGAUAUUAUAAGGGAUAAUAUAAUGUAAGAUAUAUUUGAACAUGGAAUUGCUAGUAAAUUUUAUUUAAUAAGUAGAAUUGAAUGAGUCCCUGUUCUUUGUACACACCGCCCGUCGCUAUCUAAGAUGGUAUUAUCUAUGAACAAAUUUAUAAAGUGAAUAGAUAGUACUAGAUCUGAUAUAAGUCGUAACAUGGUUGCUGUUGGAGAACCAUUAGCAGGAUCAUAA
Molecule: ribosomal RNA, 456 nt
Filed under: Nosema bombycis
Lineage: Eukaryota; Fungi; Microsporidia; Nosematidae
Description: SSU rRNA
Rfam family: Microsporidia small subunit ribosomal RNA
Source: RNAcentral